CCGCAGAGCCUUCCGCGGGAACGGGGCCCUGCCGGCACCUUGAUUUUACACCGCUGGCCUCUGAAACUGACACUCCGCUCAAGGAGCCCAGUGUCUGACAGCAAGGACUCAAACAGAGCUCCAAGCGGCCCAAACCCCAAGCGUUCUGUGCCAUGGCCCUGGGGAAGCAACCACACCAUAUACCUCCAAGCUCAUUUCCUGCAAGAGGAUCCUGGUAAACAAGGUGCUCUGUUCCAUCCAUAGGUGGUAACACUCAUACUGAUCCUUUCUAGCUACAACUCGUGAUUGCAUUUGGUAGCAGAAGCACUGCUCUGGGUCAGAACGGCAGGAUGCUUUGGUGGUAGCAAAAGAAAACUGAGAUGGAUUCUUAAUAGUGAGUUGAAUGAUGAUUCCCCUCACCUCCAAAAAAGAUAUGUCCAUGUCCUGAACCUCCAAACUUGUGUUAUACCUGAUUUAGAAAGAAGGUCUUUGCGGACAUAAUUAAGAAUCCUGAGAUGAGAUCCUCUUUGAUUAUCCAGUGGUCCCUAAAUCAGAUGACCUGUGUCCUUGGAACAACAGACGGUCAGAGGGAGGUGUGAGACAGUCCUAAGAGAAGACACCAAGAGGAGACAGGGAUGUGAAGACAGAGGCAGUGGUGGGGUUGAUGCAGCUACAAGCCAAGGAGUGCCAUGGAUUGUCAGCAGCCCCGUGAAAGUAGGAGAAAGCAUGGAAUGGAAUCUCAGAAGGAAGUGUGGCCCUGCUAACACCAUGAUUUCAGACUUCUGCCUCCAUAACUGUGAGAUAAUAAAUCUGUUGUUUUAAAUAAUCCAUUUUGGAGCAAUUCGUUACAGUAAUCCUAUUAAAACUAAUAGGAUUCUGAAAUGCUAUGUUCUCACGAAUGUUCAAUGUGAAAGAUAAUGGACACCCAAACCUCAGUCCA
Molecule: long non-coding RNA, 919 nt
Organism: Manis pentadactyla (Chinese pangolin)
Lineage: Eukaryota; Metazoa; Chordata; Mammalia; Pholidota; Manidae
Exons: 3
Source: RefSeq, a predicted model, not a curated record